CUUCCUUGCUCCAAUUCUUCACCUUCCUUUUGCGGCCCAUACCCAUUCAUCCUUCUCAGCUUCUGCUCUUGCUGUUCUGUAUUAGCCACUCCUUAGCCUGGAUCCAUGAAAGAUGCCACCAGAUGGAUUAUUUCUUUCAGUAAAGAAGGUGACCUUGGAGCUAUUCUGUAGCUGCAAGAAGAUAAAGAUAUUUCCUGGUUGGAGAUUUUCUAUUUGGCAGGCUUACCUCAGUAUCUUGACACUGACCUUUGUGAGGAAGGACUUUUUUUCCAAUGCGGAAAAUGAGUCAUUAGUAUAUGAAAGAAAUAUUCUUUAGAAUAUAUUUGCUCAAGGA
This is a long non-coding RNA of Chinchilla lanigera (long-tailed chinchilla), 334 nucleotides long. RefSeq lists it as uncharacterized. The transcript is spliced from 2 exons. The record is from RefSeq and is a predicted model, not a curated record. Lineage: Eukaryota; Metazoa; Chordata; Mammalia; Rodentia; Chinchillidae.